UGAUUGACGUCCUUUAUUCAACCAGGUGAGGAGCCCGUUGAGAUGACAUCGUGAUUGACGUCCUUUAUUCAACCAGGUGAGGAGCCCAUUGAGAUUGAGUGUUUCUCGUGUUUGACAUCCUUUAUUUAACCAGGUGAGAACCCAUUAGAAGACAUUGAACCUCUCGUAAACGACUCCCCUUAUUUCACUUCUUCGUUGUCACUAACUGUAUCAUGCUUUUUUUUAAACACAAAGUGACUGCAUUACAAUCACGGAAGCACUGAAGAAAGUUACUUCAAAGUUUGUUUUUUUACUCGUGAACGCAGCCUCACACUGAUGUG
Long non-coding RNA from Lethenteron reissneri (Far Eastern brook lamprey), 320 nucleotides. RefSeq lists it as uncharacterized. The record is from RefSeq and is a predicted model, not a curated record. Lineage: Eukaryota; Metazoa; Chordata; Hyperoartia; Petromyzontiformes; Petromyzontidae.